Molecule: ribosomal RNA, 225 nt
Filed under: Panus neostrigosus
Lineage: Eukaryota; Fungi; Basidiomycota; Agaricomycetes; Polyporales; Panaceae
Description: partial large subunit ribosomal RNA
Source: RNAcentral
CUUUGGAAGAGAGUUAAACAGUACGUGAAAUUGCUGAAAGGGAAACGCUUGUAAGUCAGUCGCGUCAUUCAGAACUCAGCCUGGCUUUUGCUUGGUGUAUUUUCUGGUUGACGGGCCAGCAUCAAUUUUGACCGCUGGAAAAAGGCUAUGGGAAUGUGGCACCUUUUGGUGUGUUAUAGCCCAUGGUCAUAUACAGCGGUUGGGAUUGAGGACCGCAGCACGCCU